This 424-nucleotide ribosomal RNA is filed under the name uncultured bacterium. Its description in RNAcentral is "bacterial SSU rRNA". It matches the Rfam family "Bacterial small subunit ribosomal RNA", at positions 356 to 773 of the family's 1533-position model. The record is from RNAcentral.
GGGGAAUCUUGCGCAAUGGGCGAAAGCCUGACGCAGCGACGCCGCGUGGGUGAUGAAGGCCUUCGGGUUGUAAAGCCCUGUGGAGGGGGACGCAUAAGGGCAGCCUAAUACGCUGACCGAUGACGGUACCCCUUUAGCAAGCACCGGCUCACUCUGUGCCAGCAGCCGCGGUAAGACCGAGGGUGCAAACGUUGUUCGGAAUUACUGGGCGUAAAGCGCGUGUAGGCGGCUUGGCGAGUCGGGUGUGAAAGCCCUGGGCUCAACCUAGGAAGUGCACUCGAAACUGCUUCGCUUGAGUGUCGGAGAGGAAAGCGGAAUUCUCGGUGUAGAGGUGAAAUUCGUAGAUAUCGAGAGGAACACCGGUGGCGAAGGCGGCUUUCUGGACGAUAACUGACGCUGAGACGCGAAAGCGUGGGGAGCAAAC